GAUGGGGGUGAAACCCGACCAGUACUCCAAGACGCGCAAGCAAGCGCCAAGCGGGGAACUCCGCGGGAAACCGGACCGGAACUCAAGUGUGCAGAGCUCUGCUUCGCUAGGAAUCCUUCUUCUCCAAAUGACCUACCUUUAAUGAGUGGGGGGUGCCCUCUAUUUAUAGGGGUUCUUAUGGGGUCAAUCUGGUCAUUUGGGCAGUAACCGCCUAACUGCCUAACUGAUCAGAUUGGGUCCAGGGGUCGACUUUCCNN
Molecule: long non-coding RNA, 257 nt
Filed under: Zostera marina
Lineage: Eukaryota; Viridiplantae; Streptophyta; Magnoliopsida; Alismatales; Zosteraceae
Description: long non-coding RNA (ZMAR_LNC001032)
Source: RNAcentral